UUGAUCAGAGGCUUUCAGCUACAAUUUCACCUUGUCAUGUCACGAUGGAGCUUCCUGGAGCCUACUUUACUUGCAGUUAGUCCUACUGUUACAUUGGAAACGGCAACUGCUACCUUUUCAGAGCAAUUGCAAAUUGAGAAAGUGACCGUAGAGCAAAAAAGCAACUUCAAAUGUUAUUAGAAGAACAAAGAAGAUUUGGCCUCAAUAUUGAUCUGGAUGCUCCAAAAGUAAGAGUUCCUAUCAGAACCAAUAAGGACUUUUCCAAAUCUGAUAGCCAUUUUCUGUUGGAUUUUGGUCAUUUCACGCUGCAAGAGAAGCAUGAUGAACAGAAGAAGAACCUGUUGCCCACCGAUCGGUAUUGUGUUUGUCAUGAGAAAGGAUGUGAACUACGUACUGAUUGCUAAAUCUGCAUGCCCUCUCAUGGAAAACUCCUUAUGUUAAAUCUGAUGGACCUUGAAGGUUCAACAUAACAACCUUGAAGUCACAGACGAAGGUAGAUGCCUGUUGGUUUCAACUUCUUUUGAGAGGAAACAACUCCAAGUUUUCGAAGAGAUUUGGUAAAUCAAAAUGUAAUUGAUAGAAGUUGCUAACUUGCUAUGUUAGUCUUGUCCUGGUAGGAGUUUGGCAGAACAUUUGUUAGUAGCUACCAUUCCCAUUUGUCCCACAGUCCUCACUGGGAGAUUUUAUUGCAUUUGAAGUUCCGCUGAAAAAAUGGCGAGAAGCAUGCUAUAUCAGGGGUAUUGCAACAGUGGUAAAUGAGAAUCAUGUUAAAUUGAAAAUUUCAGUAUGUGGUGCUUCUGUUGUUCAAGGUAACGAUUCUUCUGGAACAAAUGAAAAUAUAAAUACGCCUAGGAGUGACAUCUCUGCUAAAAAUCCCAGAGGUUAUUGUACGUGUUCUACCUUGGAGAAGUAAAUCAAGUCAUUCGGGCCGCUGCUUACAAAUUUAUCCUUGAUUAUCCUUGGCAGUGGGUUCUGGAAAUGCAUAUAAAAUGGACUCGACUUUUGUGGAGUUCAAAGCAAGAAAAUAAGAUGCAUAAUGAUGGAUCAUAAUGAUCAUCCUUUCUUAAAAUCAGCAGCAUAGUAAUCAAGGAGUCUGUAUACAGACAGACAGAUGAUUUGGUGCAUCUGUCUCCAAGUAGACAGGUUAAAACUUGGAAUGCUUCGGAUACAAUCAGAUAAGCCGUUAACAUUAACACCAAUGCCGCCAGUUCUCCUUCGACCACAUAGAGUUGGAGAGGAGAUGGACUAUAUCUUGAAGUUUUCCG
Molecule: long non-coding RNA, 1265 nt
Organism: Rosa rugosa (rugosa rose)
Lineage: Eukaryota; Viridiplantae; Streptophyta; Magnoliopsida; Rosales; Rosaceae
Exons: 7
Source: RefSeq, a predicted model, not a curated record